GGGGGGCUUAACUUAGUUUGGUUGGGCUUUAAAAACCAUUUCACCCCGAUUCUGUCUUCUACUGUUAGAAAAGUGCUAGAGUUAGACAUCAAGGAUAGGCAAGGGAGAGAGUGCAGGCAUCUUGCAACCCAACAGAGAGCAAAACUUGUUUGCAAGGUUUGCCAUCUUUGGUAGCGGAUCUCGUACCGUUGCCAUCAUGGUAUAGUGACAGUAUCUUGGUAAGGGGUAGGUUCAGCUUACUAAUAUUCAAUACACCUCUCAUACCGCGUACCGGUGGGUAUACACCAGUAUUGACCCCUACGGCAUACCAUACUUGGUUGAGUGAUUAACUUAGCUAGUCUUCGCCUUUGACCUGACCAGGAGAGAAUAUACGGUCAAGCCAAGCCACCCUUCCUCACUUGCCCGAAUGGAAUACAUAUUUCCAUCAUCUAGUUGAGAAGGGAAAAGGCCCGACAUGGAACUAGAUCGUGAGUCUUCUGAACAAUUACAUUAUGGAGAAGUCCAUUCUCAUCAUAAUCGAUCCAUAUCCUACCAUAAUGUCUGGAGUACUAGGCUUGCUUAAGUUUCCAAUCUAGCUUACUAUGCUAUGUGCGAAGGAAUUUCUCUAAGAUCGCACAAGCUAGCUAGAGGUGAAAUUUGGAAAUGGCUAUGAACAACAGAUAUUUUCGCAUAUAUGUUUUACCUCUCCAUUUGCUACCCAUGUCCCU
Molecule: long non-coding RNA, 707 nt
Filed under: Phoenix dactylifera (date palm)
Lineage: Eukaryota; Viridiplantae; Streptophyta; Magnoliopsida; Arecales; Arecaceae
Description: long non-coding RNA (PDAC_LNC012941)
Source: RNAcentral